UACCCGUCGGUUCUCAAUUUAGAUACCCGUUCGGGUAUUUAAUUUGACAAGAACCGUUGGGUUCGGAUCGGUUCGGUUCGAGUUCGGUUCGGUCGGUUCGGUUCGGGAGAUUUGCCCAGCCCUAGACAAACGUACGUGAGCUGCACUUCAGUGGCGGGUUUUUGCGGCUCAAUUAUACGGUUCGAAUAAGUGUGAAGAAGAGUGAAGAUCAAUUUUUUAGGGGCUUUGAGGAACCUAAGAAAAUCACACUUUGGCUGAGACCGAACAGCAACCCGACGAC
RNAcentral lists this long non-coding RNA (280 nucleotides) under Olea europaea (common olive). Its description in RNAcentral is "long non-coding RNA (OEUR_LNC003179)". Lineage: Eukaryota; Viridiplantae; Streptophyta; Magnoliopsida; Lamiales; Oleaceae. The record is from RNAcentral.